GAUGAACGCUGGCGGCGUGCCUAAUACAUGCAAGUCGAGCGAACGGACGAGAAGCUUGCUUCCCUGAUGUUAGCGGCGGACGGGUGAGUAACACGUGGAUAACCUACCUAUAAGACUGGGAUAACCUCGGGAAACCGGAGCUAAUACCGGAUAAUAUUUUGAACCGCAUGGUUCAAAAGUGAAAGACGGUCUUGCUGUCACUUAUAGAUGGAUCCGCGCUGCAUUAGCUAGUUGGUAAGGUAACGGCUUACCAAGGCAACGAUGCAUAGCCGACCUGAGAGGGUGAUCGGCCACACUGGAACUGAGACACGGUCCAGACUCCUACGGGAGGCAGCAGUAGGGAAUCUUGCGCAAUGGGCGAAAGCCUGACGGAGCAACGCCGCGUGAGUGAUGAAGGUCUUCGGGUCGUAAAACUCUGUUAUUAGGGAAGAACAUAUGUGUAAGUAACUGUGCACAUCUUGACGGUACCUAAUCAGAAAGCCACGGCUAACUACGUG
Molecule: ribosomal RNA, 497 nt
Filed under: uncultured bacterium
Lineage: Bacteria
Description: partial 16S ribosomal RNA
Rfam family: Bacterial small subunit ribosomal RNA
Source: RNAcentral